This 549-nucleotide ribosomal RNA is filed under the name uncultured bacterium. RNAcentral's name for it is "partial 16S ribosomal RNA". It matches the Rfam family "Bacterial small subunit ribosomal RNA", at positions 355 to 896 of the family's 1533-position model. The record is from RNAcentral.
UGGGGAAUUUUGGACAAUGGGCGCAAGCCUGAUCCAGCCAUGCCGCGUGCGGGAAAAAGGCCUUCGGGUUGUAAACCGCUUUUGUCAGGGAAGAAAUCUUCUGAGUUAAUACCUCGGGAGGAUGACGGUACCUGAAGAAUAAGCACCGGCUAACUACGUGCCAGCAGCCGCGGUAAUACGUAGGGUGCAAGCGUUAAUCGGAAUUACUGGGCGUAAAGCGUGCGCAGGCGGUUUUGUAAGACAGAGGUGAAAUCCCCGGGCUCAACCUGGGAACUGCCUUUGUGACUGCAAGGCUUGAGUGCGGCAGAGGGGGGAUGGAAUUCCGCGUGUAGCAGUGAAAUGCGUAGAUAUGCGGAGGAACACCGAUGGCGAAGGCAAUCCCCUGGGCCUGCACUGACGCUCAUGCACGAAAGCGUGGGGAGCAAACAGGAUUAGAUACCCUGGUAGUCCACGCCCUAAACGAUGUCAACUGGUUGUUGGGAAGGUUCCUUCUCAGUAACGUAGCUAACGCGUGAAGUUGACCGCCUGGGGAGUACGGCCGCAAGGUUG